AACGCUAGCUACAGGCUUAACACAUGCAAGUCGAGGGGAAACGAUAUUGGAAGCUUGCUUCCGAUAGGCGUCGACCGGCGCACGGGUGAGUAACGCGUAUCCAACCUGCCCAUCACUUGGGAAUAACCUUGCGAAAGUAAGACUAAUGCCCAAUGACAUUUAUAGAAGGCAUCGGAAAUGAAUUAAAGAUUUAUCGGUGAUGGAUGGGGAUGCGUCUGAUUAGCUUGUUGGCGGGGUAACGGCCCACCAAGGCGACGAUCAGUAGGGGUUCUGAGAGGAAGGUCCCCCACAUUGGAACUGAGACACGGUCCAAACUCCUACGGGAGGCAGCAGUGAGGAAUAUUGGUCAAUGGGCGAGAGCCUGAACCAGCCAAGUAGCGUGCAGGAUGACGGCCCUAUGGGUUGUAAACUGCUUUUAUAGGGGAAUAAAGUGAGCCACGUGUGGUUUUUUGCAUGUACCCUAUGAAUAAGGACCGGCUAAUUCCGUGCCAGCAGCCGCGGUAAUACGGAAGGUCCGGGCGUUAUCCGGAUUUAUUGGGUUUAAAGGGAGCGUAGGCCGGAGAUUAAGCGUGUUGUGAAAUGUAGAUGCUCAACAUCUGCACUGCAGCGCGAACUGGUUUCCUUGAGUACGCAUAAAGUGGGCGGAAUUCGUGGUGUAGCGGUGAAAUGCUUAGAUAUCACGAAGAACUCCGAUUG
RNAcentral lists this ribosomal RNA (696 nucleotides) under uncultured bacterium. RNAcentral's name for it is "bacterial SSU rRNA". It matches the Rfam family "Bacterial small subunit ribosomal RNA", at positions 32 to 715 of the family's 1533-position model. The record is from RNAcentral.